Molecule: ribosomal RNA, 253 nt
Filed under: uncultured bacterium
Lineage: Bacteria
Description: partial 16S ribosomal RNA
Rfam family: Bacterial small subunit ribosomal RNA
Source: RNAcentral
UACAGAGGGUGCAAGCGUUAAUCGGAAUUACUGGGCGUAAAGGGUGCGUAGGCGGUUAAUUAAGUCAGAUGUGAAAUCCCCAGGCUUAACCUGGGAAUUGCGUUUGAAACUGAAUAACUAGAGUAUGGUAGAGGGAAGUGGAAUUUCCGGUGUAGCGGUGAAAUGCGUAGAUAUCGGAAGGAACAUCAGUGGCGAAGGCGACUUCCUGGACCAUUACUGACACUGAGGCACGAAAGCGUGGGGAGCGAACAGG